RNAcentral lists this long non-coding RNA (234 nucleotides) under Mytilus galloprovincialis (Mediterranean mussel). The record is from RNAcentral. Lineage: Eukaryota; Metazoa; Mollusca; Bivalvia; Mytilida; Mytilidae.
CCCAAGAAUUCCAUUUUUGAUAAAAUCAAGCUAAGUUUAAUUUUGGACCCUUUGGACCUUAAUGUAGACCAAUUUGAAAACAGGACCAAAAAUUAAGAAUCUGAAUACACGGUUAGAUUUGGCAUAUCAAAGAACCCCAAUAAUUCAUUUUUUGAUGAAAUCAAACAAAGUUUAAUUUUGGACCCUUUCGGCCCCUAAUUCGUUGGGACCAAAACUCCCAAAAUCAAUCCCAAC